UGUUUUCCAAUCCCAACAUCGAGGGGGAAAAGGUAAAACUCCGAGAAACUGCCCCACCGCCCGAUGAAAACACAGUAAUCGUUCGUAACUUGACCUUCAACUCGUUUAACUUAAGUACUGUGGUGAUUGAAUGGCUAAAACCGCUUUUCGAUGAAAGUAACGUAACAAAAUACGACAUAAUAUACAGACGAAGAGGGAAUCCGGGCAGAGGAAAGACGUUCGACCUCCAGAUUGAUGGGGAGAGGACGUCUUUUAUCAUCCAUGGCUUAAUCCCUGGUGACAAUCUAGAAGUAGAGGUGACGCCGAUAUUUGAUGCUACUGUUCUCACAGGACUUACUUCAACAAUCAUU
Stylophora pistillata is the source of this 350-nucleotide long non-coding RNA. NCBI's taxonomy places the organism in Eukaryota, Metazoa, Cnidaria, Anthozoa, Scleractinia, Pocilloporidae. The record is from RefSeq and is a predicted model, not a curated record.